AGGCCAAGCAUUUAUUCAUACUCUAUCCGGAGCUAUUGAGAAAGCCUUGAGGCAUAAGAGCCUUUCUACAUCAAAAAGGCAACAUGUGCAUGGUUGCAGCCUUGUUCGAGGAAAGAAAUUAUAUGGGUAUUAUUCAUCAGAGGAGCUGUUUGUGAAGAUCUUUUUAUAUUGUCCUCAUGAUGUUUCUCGUUUGGCUAGUCUUCUUCUGGUAU
Long non-coding RNA from Phalaenopsis equestris, 212 nucleotides. RefSeq lists it as uncharacterized. The record is from RefSeq and is a predicted model, not a curated record. NCBI's taxonomy places the organism in Eukaryota, Viridiplantae, Streptophyta, Magnoliopsida, Asparagales, Orchidaceae. The transcript is spliced from 3 exons.